RNAcentral lists this unclassified non-coding RNA (331 nucleotides) under soil metagenome. RNAcentral's name for it is "partial contains 5.8S ribosomal RNA, internal transcribed spacer 2, and large subunit ribosomal RNA". The stretch from base 1 to 120 matches the Rfam family "5.8S ribosomal RNA", at positions 35 to 154 of the family's 154-position model. The record is from RNAcentral.
GAUGAAGAACGCAGUGAAAUGCGAUAAGUAGUGUGAAUUGCAGAAUUCAGUGAAUCAUCGAAUCUUUGAACGCACAUUGCGCCCCUUGGUAUUCCGGGGGGCAUGCCUGUUCGAGCGUCAUUAUCACCCCUCAAGCUCAGCUUGGUGUUGGGGCCGGCCCGUCACAGGGCCGCCCCUAAAAGCAGUGGCGGUGCCAUCUGGCUCUACGCGUAGUAAUACUCCUCGCGACAGAGUCCCGGUGGUCUCCUGCCAGAACCCCCCAUUUUUUAAUGAUUGACCUCGGAUCAGGUAGGGAUACCCGCUGAACUUAAGCAUAUCAAUAAGCGGAGGA